Molecule: unclassified non-coding RNA, 567 nt
Filed under: Hevea brasiliensis (rubber tree)
Lineage: Eukaryota; Viridiplantae; Streptophyta; Magnoliopsida; Malpighiales; Euphorbiaceae
Source: RNAcentral
GAGAAGACCAGCAAUUGCUCUCGAACUCGCCGUACACUCUUCGCCGUCUUCUCGAAGGUUAGUUGAUCAAUAUGUCGUGCGGAGAAGUUGCUUGCACUUAUGCUGCCUUGCUCCUCCAUGAUGAGGACAUUCCAAUCACUGCAGAGAAAAUUUCAACUUUAGUUAAAGCAGCUAAUGUGACAGUGGAACCAUACUGGCCUCUCCUGUUUGCUAAGCUUGCUGAGAAGAGAAACCUUGGUGAUCUCAUCAUGAAUGUCGGUGCUGGUGGUGGUGGUGGUGCAGUCGCUGUUGCUGCCCCCACUGGUGGUGCUGCUGGUGGUGCCGCAGCUGCUGCCCCUGCUGCUGAGGAAAAGAAGGAAGAGCCCAAGGAAGAAAGUGAUGAUGAUAUGGGUUUCAGUCUGUUUGAUUAGAAGCUCCUCCCAGUACGAUUUUUGCUUCUUAUUUAAAAAUUUGACGAGACUUUGUUAUAGCACCCUUGUUGAAGAGAUUUUUGAUCUGCUUGUCACAGUUAAAUGUAACCUUGACAUAAUUAUGGUUUAUGAACAUCAGUUAUGUUACUUAUUUCCG